RNAcentral lists this small nuclear RNA (18 nucleotides) under Arabidopsis thaliana (thale cress). Its description in RNAcentral is "snRNA_07423". The record is from RNAcentral. Lineage: Eukaryota; Viridiplantae; Streptophyta; Magnoliopsida; Brassicales; Brassicaceae.
GCACCACGAGGCGCUGUC